Molecule: ribosomal RNA, 484 nt
Filed under: uncultured bacterium
Lineage: Bacteria
Description: partial 16S ribosomal RNA
Rfam family: Bacterial small subunit ribosomal RNA
Source: RNAcentral
AUUGAACGCUGGCGGCAGGCCUAUCACAUGCAAGUCGAGCGGAUGAAGGGAGCUUGCUCCUGGAUUCAGCGGCGGACGGGUGAGUAAUGCCUAGGAAUCUGCCUGGUAGUGGGGGAUAACGUCCGGAAACGGGCGCUAAUACCGCAUACGUCCUGAGGGAGAAAGUGGGGGAUCUUCGGACCUCACGCUAUCAGAUGAGCAUAGGUCGGAUUAGCUAGUUGGUGGGGUAAAGGCCUACCAAGGCGACGAUCCGUAACUGGUCUGAGAGGAUGAUCAGUCACACUGGAACUGAGACACGGUCCAGACUCCUACGGGAGGCAGCAGUGGGGAAUAUUGGACAAUGGGCGAAAGCCUGAUCCAGCCAUGCCGCGUGUGUGAAGAAGGUCUUCGGAUUGUAAAGCACUUUAAGUUGGGAGGAAGGGCAGUAAGUUAAUACCUUGCUGUUUUGACGUUACCAACAGAAUAAGCACCGGCUAACUUCGUG